GCGAACGCUGGCGGCAGGCUUAACACAUGCAAGUCGAGCGGGCCCUUCGGGGUCAGCGGCCGACGGGUGAGUAACACGUGGGAACGUACCCUUUGGUUCGGAAUAACGCUGGGAAACUAGCGCUAAUACCGGAUACGCCCUUUUGGGGAAAGGCUUGCUGCCGAAGGAUCGGCCCGCGUCUGAUUAGCUAGUUGGUGGGGUAAUGGCCUACCAAGGCGACGAUCAGUAGCUGGUCUGAGAGGAUGAUCAGCCACACUGGGACUGAGACACGGCCCAGACUCCUACGGGAGGCAGCAGUGGGGAAUAUUGGACAAUGGGCGCAAGCCUGAUCCAGCCAUGCCGCGUGAGUGAUGAAGGCCUUAGGGUUGUAAAGCUCUUUUGUUCGGGACGAUAAUGACGGUACCGGAAGAAUAAGCCCCGGCUAACUUCGUG
Molecule: ribosomal RNA, 432 nt
Filed under: uncultured bacterium
Lineage: Bacteria
Description: partial 16S ribosomal RNA
Rfam family: Bacterial small subunit ribosomal RNA
Source: RNAcentral